ACGUAGGGGGCGAGCGUUAUUCGGAAUUACUGGGUGUAAAGGGUAUGUAGGCGGCCCUUCAAGUCGCGCGUCAAAGUCCAGUGCUCAACCCUGGGUGUGCGUGCGAUACUGACGGGCUUGAGGGCUGGAGAGGUGAGCGGAAUUCCCGGUGUAGCGGUAAAAUGCGUAGAUAUCGGGAGGAACGCCAGCGGCGAAGGCAGCUCACUGGACGAUUUCUGACGCUGAGAUGCGAAAGCGUGGGGAGCAAACAG
This 251-nucleotide ribosomal RNA is filed under the name uncultured prokaryote. Its description in RNAcentral is "partial 16S rRNA". It matches the Rfam family "Bacterial small subunit ribosomal RNA", at positions 525 to 775 of the family's 1533-position model. The record is from RNAcentral.